RNAcentral lists this ribosomal RNA (229 nucleotides) under uncultured bacterium. Its description in RNAcentral is "partial 16S ribosomal RNA". It matches the Rfam family "Bacterial small subunit ribosomal RNA", at positions 98 to 334 of the family's 1533-position model. The record is from RNAcentral.
GCGCACGGGUGAGUAACACGUGAAUGACAUGCCCUUGAUGGGGGAUAGCCCAGGGAAACUUGGAUUAAUACCCCAUGGUAUCGCGAGAUUAAAGGUGGCCGCAAGGCUGUCGCUCAAGGAUUGGUUCGCGCCCUAUCAGCUUGUUGGCGAGGUAACGGCUCACCAAGGCUACGACGGGUACCUGGUUUGAGAGGACGAUCAGGCACACUGGAACUGAGACACGGUCCAG